AGACGCAGAGAACUGAAACAUCUAAGUACCUGCAGGAAGAGAAAGAAAAUUCGAUUCCCUGAGUAGCGGCGAGCGAAACGGGAAAAGCCCAAACCAACAAGCUUGCUUGUUGGGGUUGUAGGACUCCAAUAUGGUAGUUCUUUCAGAUAGUCGAAUGACUUGGAAAAGUCAGUCAAAGAGGGUAAAAACCCCGUAGACGAAAUGUGGAAGACACCUAGGAGGAUCCUGAGUACGGCGGAACACGAGAAAUUCCGU
Molecule: ribosomal RNA, 255 nt
Filed under: Enterococcus lactis
Lineage: Bacteria; Bacillati; Bacillota; Bacilli; Lactobacillales; Enterococcaceae
Description: partial 23S ribosomal RNA
Rfam family: Bacterial large subunit ribosomal RNA
Source: RNAcentral